AAAGAUCCGGGCCGGAAGGCAAUGUUAUGUGGACCGAAAGGUCCGGGCCGGAAGGCAAUGUUAUGUGGACCGAAAGGUCCGGGCCGGAAGGCGUAUGUGCGUAAGGUAUAUUGGGGAACUCACUAAGCUUCGUGCUUACGUUGUUUAUGUUACGUUGUUUCAGGUUCUUACAGUAACGCGGGAUGGCAACGGUUCGAUUGUACACACCGAAGAAAGAGUUGAGUUUUGGAGGAUCCUGGUCUUCUUUUAUAACGAAAAUGAAACUACGUUUUGUAAUUUGAAUGUGAAUAAGAUUUUAAACAAGUGUUUUUAAUAUUAAAUUGAUUAAUUAAAUGAAAAUUUUAUUUUUGGAAAUCUGGGUGUUACAAAUUGGUAUCAGAGCCUUGGUUUGAGGGAUUCGGACGCGCCUACGGGUAAAUCUGGACUCAAACUGAGGAAGUAAGAAAAAGGUUUUCAAAUAAAUGGUUUUCUAAAAGUGAAUAAGAGUUCAAAGAGAAAGCAAGAAAGAGCAGUGUGUACAAUCAGCCAGAGCCAAACGGUGAUUUCCCAAAAUACCCUUACUUUUGUAUUAUGAAAUAUCUAUUAUGCACUUUAUGAGACAUUAUUGCAUGCUAGAGACAGGCUAGGUAUUUCACAUCUUAGGACUAGAGUGGCCUGAUUUGUGAUGCCUUAGUCUAGGGUUUGCUGUUAUAUGUGCGUUAUGCUUUUGUGUGUAUGUGAUGAGUGAGGGUAUCUAGUUAGAACGCACGAGGGGUAGAGCUACAGAGUACAGUGGUACUUCCGAGGAUGAGCCGAGAAGGUGGAGCUAUCACAGCUAAGGAGUCCUAUGUAUGCUUCGAUGCUCGAAUGCUGCUUGCUUCGUGCUUUGUGGAGUUCUCGAUGAUGGGAGACAGCUACUAAGUGAGUAUGACGAUACUCAGGAGGUAGAUGUUUGGCAUCAUUAGGAGCUCUUCAGCAGCUGAUGGCAAAGAAGUGGGAGGACGGCGGAAAGGGCUAGAGAUUAAAUCUAGCCAAGAUGGGUGCGCGGGUAGAAAAGAGGAUUUCGUUGGGGAGCGAGCAUGCAAGAUGGGAUUGGUGAAAAGAGCAGGUCGAUCAGCUACUUAGGAACUCUGGGAUGGUCCGUGUGGAAAGUAUGGGUAGAUGUGGCAGGUAGUAUGGGCCCGUACUAUUGAAAGCAGAGGACCCAUACUUGAUACAGGGAGCAU
RNAcentral lists this long non-coding RNA (1205 nucleotides) under Lactuca sativa (garden lettuce). Its description in RNAcentral is "long non-coding RNA (LSAT_LNC000761)". The record is from RNAcentral. Lineage: Eukaryota; Viridiplantae; Streptophyta; Magnoliopsida; Asterales; Asteraceae.